GUUAGUGGAAGCGUCUGGAAAGGCGCGCGAUACAGGGUGACAGCCCCGUACACAAAAAUGCACAUGCUGUGAGCUCGAUGAGUAGGGCGGGACACGUGGUAUCCUGUCUGAAUAUGGGGGGACCAUCCUCCAAGGCUAAAUACUCCUGACUGACCGAUAGUGAACCAGUACCGUGAGGGAAAGGCGAAAAGAACCCCGGCGAGGGGAGUGAAAAAGAACCUGAAACCGUGUACGUACAAGCAGUGGGAGCACAGAGCAAUCUGUGUGACUGCGUACCUUUUGUAUAAUGGGUCAGCGACUUAUAUUCUGUAGCAAGGUUAACCGAAUAGGGGAGCCGAAGGGAAACCGAGUCUUAACUGGGCGUUAAGUUGCAGGGUAUAGACCCGAAACCCGGUGAUCUAGCCAUGGGCAGGUUGAAGGUUGGGUAACACUAACUGGAGGACCGAACCGACUAAUGUUGAAAAAUUAGCGGAUGACUUGUGGCUGGGGGUGAAAGGCCAAUCAAACCGGGAGAUAGCUGGUUCUCCCCGAAAGCUAUUUAGGUAGCGCCUCGUGAAUUCAUCUCCGGGGGUAGAGCACUGUUUCGGCAAGGGGGUCAUCCCGACUUACCAACCCGAUGCAAACUGCGAAUACCGGAGAAUGUUAUCACGGGAGACACACGGCGGGUGCUAACGUCCGUCGUGAAGAGGGAAACAACCCAGACCGCCAGCUAAGGUCCCAAAGUCAUGGUUAAGUGGGAAACGAUGUGGGAAGGCCCAGACAGCCAGGAUGUUGGCUUAGAAGCAGCCAUCAUUUAAAGAAAGCGUAAUAGCUCACUGGUCGAGUCGGCCUGCGCGGAAGAUGUAACGGGGCUAAACCAUGCACCGAAGCUGCGGCAGCGACACUGUGUGUUGUUGGGUAGGGGAGCGU
RNAcentral lists this ribosomal RNA (909 nucleotides) under Escherichia coli. RNAcentral's name for it is "partial 23S ribosomal RNA". It matches the Rfam family "Bacterial large subunit ribosomal RNA", at positions 328 to 1239 of the family's 2925-position model. Lineage: Bacteria; Pseudomonadati; Pseudomonadota; Gammaproteobacteria; Enterobacterales; Enterobacteriaceae. The record is from RNAcentral.